This 3370-nucleotide long non-coding RNA is filed under the name Homo sapiens (human). Its description in RNAcentral is "HSALNT0393996". The record is from RNAcentral. Lineage: Eukaryota; Metazoa; Chordata; Mammalia; Primates; Hominidae.
AAAACCCCUCUGCAUCCUGGCUAGUUGCUCCUGGUUUCUUUUUGCCAGAAGUCAAAAGAGGAAGCAGAAACACAGUUAUAGAAGUGCAAUUGUUAGUGUUACCUAGAUAUUUCUUUCCUUCUUUUCAGGCAUUAAAGUAGCAAAAUGGGCAUCUAUUGGCCCUGACUUCAGAAGAUGAACAAAGAAGGGCAGAAAGAGAACCACAAUCCUACACACAGGAGAUUUUGAAGUUUCACAAGACAGAAUCUACAUAUAAGAAUGGAUUUAACCCAGAAAUUAUUGCCUGUUAAGAAGCACCCCGCAACAACAAAAAAAGAAAACCAUAAACAAACAAUCAAAAACAAACUUAAACUACAGACCAAGUAAUGGUUUUCUAACACAAAAGAAGACAUGAAUGAAUUCUGAAUCGUCAGCAAUAUUAUGCGUGUGUGAGUUUGGGAUCCACAGAAGCAGAUUCUGAGACGAAGAUUAGUGUGCAAGUGAGCCUAAAGAGUGGAGAAAUGAGGAAAGGAAAUGAGACGGAACCAACCAGUGGUAAAACCCCAUCCACAGCCUGAUCACAUAGGAAACCUCUGCUUUUAAAGCAGAAGAGCUGAGCUUUCAUAACCCAGCGCCAGUCAGUCAUUGAUUGGCUGAGGACCUUGGGCAGGCGGACUACUCAUGACUUUGGGUAGAGUGGCUUUCUAACACCAAGAGGCAUCACUGCAAGGACAUCACAGGAAGAGGACACUGGAAACAAAACAUGUUGGGGUGAAACUAAGGGUUCAUGAAAAUGGAAAAAGUGAUCUUAGGGAAUCCAGAUGCAUAACAAUAGCUAUAAUGGCUACUACUGUGGGUUAUAUUUUUGAUAAUCUCUCGAAUCAUUUCUUGUUGAGAUAAAACGUGGCAAUUAUGGACCAUUGCAUGACAGUUUUUGAGAUGUCUGUUCAGAAAUUCCAAGGCAAUGAACUCCUAUUUGUGUCAUCUAAUAACUCUACUCAUUUUUGGUUUGGCUUUUAUUUUGCUUUCAUUAAUUACAAUGUAUAAGGAGUAAAUGAAAUAUGUGUGUACCAUUUUUAAGAUAAUAAACAAAAUGCUCGUGUGCCCACAACUUAGAUUAAGAAAUAGAGCAUUACGGGGAACUUAGAUGCCACUCCAUGCCCUUGUCUCAUCACACCCUGCUCCUUCCCUAGGGAGGUUGUCAUUUUGUGGAAAGAUCUACCAUUUUCUUUAGUGUUUUCAUCUUUAUUUAGAUUCCAAUAUGACACAUUGUUUCAUUUGGCAGCCUUUUGAAUGUAAUACCAUUUUAAUUAUACACUAUCUAUCCUCCCAGAGCACGUUGCUUUGCUCAACAUCAUGUAUUUAGCUUCACUUUUAUUGACAACUGUAAAUGUGUUUCAUUCUACAGUUGAUGUGCACAUGAGUUGUUUCCAGCUCUUGCCAUUACCAACAAUAUUGUUACUCUGAAUAUCCCUGCAUCUUUGUCUGGGUGCACCUGUGCAAGACAGUAUCUAGAGCAACACUUAGGUGUUCAUUAGUUGUUCCAUUAGUUCUUGGCAAUACUUGAUGUGAUCAGACUUUCUCCUUCAAGCUAUUCUGGUGGAUUUAAAUCUGCAUUUCCCAUAUAGUAAUUAGAUGGAGCAUGCUUUUAUAUUUUUAUUGGUCCUUUGGGUUUUCUCUUAUGUGAAUUAUAUGUUCAAGUCUGUUGGCAAUUUCUUAGGUUAUUUUCUAGGAGUAUUAAAAAUAUAUUUGAACAGUUACAUAUGUUCAAUUUUAUAUGUUAACAAUAUCUUUUCCCAAUUGGAAAUUUAUGUUUUUUUUUUUUUCUUUUUAUGGUGUUUUGGUUGUUUACAAAUGAAAGUUCUUUAUUUAAAUGAAUCGUUUCUUUGAUGUUCCCUCUUUGGGUUAUUCUAUGAAAAUUGUUCUGUUUCGUUUCUUUCCCUGUGCUCAUAGAGGUAGUCUUUUUAUCAUCUUCUAAGGAUAUUAUAAUUUUGCCAUUUACAUUUAGCUCUUUAAUCCACCUGUAAAUAAUUUUUAAGUGACUCUUGAUUUCUUUAAAUAGUUAAAGAAGAUCUGAUGCUUUUUCCCAUGUAAGUUAUAUCUUUCAGCGAGAUCUUCAUUAUACCGAAUCCCACAAAGUAAAACUAUGUUUUAAAAUACGUUAUCCUUCCAGAGUGAAGAAUUGUACCUCUGUUAUCUCUACUGCAAUCCAGUCUCUCUACUUACCUUAAAAGCAGAACAGAACUGCCAAUGCUUGUCUGUACUUUGUGUAUUUAGUAAGUUAGGCAGUUCGUUAAUUAUGCUCUCCUUUAUCCAGAGAGCAUUUAUGCAGCUUUUUCUCUUGUUGUAUUCUUAUUAAAAAAGCAAAUUGAGGUUUCAGUAAGGUGAAGGGGAAGUAGAAGUGAGAGAAAUUAUUAAAGGAAAUGCAAAAUCUAAUAUAUAUCUUCAUAGAGAUGAAUGAAUUUCAGAUGCCAUUUUGACUAUUUUAUGACACACACAUACACAUACACAUACACGUACACAUAUACACACACAAAUCACCAAAGGAGAAGGAUAGUAUGUUUUGAUGUUAUAUAUUUCAAAGCACCAAAAGGAUAUAGACAAAGUAGCAGGAAAAGAUUAUCUUGUCUUCAUUCUAAACUGAAAUUGUAUAGUAGCUAUUAUACACAUUAACUGACUGCAUUAUUGCUUAUCAUUUUUGGAAACUAGUAUAAUUGAUAUAAUAAAUAGUUUCCAGCUGAUAUUAGUGAACCUCAGACUAUGUCAUGUAGAUGGAGUAAAGUCUUUGAAUUUAUAUUUAGAGACCUAAAUAAUGACAAAACUUUGCCACCCACCCGUCCUAAGUGUGAAAUGUGCAGUGAAUGAAUAAAUAAAUGAAUGAAUGGAAGAAUGAAUACUAAAUAGCAGUAUAAAAGUGAGCCACCAGUUUAUGAAUUAAAUUGUUAUAUGAACAAAGGUGGUCUAUCUGUUACAAGUGUUACUGCUGCUUCUAAAUGUUCAAGCAACAGAGCUUUGCCUUUUAGAGUUCUUGUCAUGGUAUUUUUACCAGUAAAGAUUUUAUUUUUUUAAGUAAUUUAUAGUGAGCUUUGGUAUUUUGGUAAAAUAAUUUCAUUGGAUUCUGCAGAAGAAAAAUAAAAUAUUCCAAAAAAGGAUGGAAAAGAAAACAUCUUAACCCAGAGCCUUUUUAUUUCUUUUUGUUUCUUCACAUUCCAAGAUAUCAAAAUGCUUAUCAUUAUUAUUAUUUGUUUCAUAUACUAUAUGUUUAUCAAACUAAGUUUCUCUGUCACAGCUGGAACAAUCAGGAUUUCUUCUGUUGCUUAUGAUAAAUAAGCACUCAAUUGUAAGAAUGUCCUCAGGGAAAGUUCAUUAAAAAAGAAAUGAAAAUGCUGAG